Molecule: long non-coding RNA, 551 nt
Organism: Oncorhynchus masou masou (cherry salmon)
Lineage: Eukaryota; Metazoa; Chordata; Actinopteri; Salmoniformes; Salmonidae
Exons: 2
Source: RefSeq, a predicted model, not a curated record
AACACGGUUGAGCUACAGCAACGACACUGUCAUAGACAACACAUAAACAACAAUCACAACAAACAACCAGGAAGAAGUUUGUAUCGGGGAAAUGUGAACGACAACUGACCACUGAAGUCACACAAGCCUUUACUCUAUAACAAUGGCACCAUCAAAACAGAGAGCUCAAGGCCUGAGGAGAGAAAUAGACACUCUCCCACCCUGUUCAUCUGCAUUUGUAAGGCUGUCUCCAGAGAAGCUCUUGCCAGAGACUCGAUUGAAGUCAUACUGUAGCUCCUGCUAUGUCACAGCCCUACCUAUUAAAUGGACUGUUUAAUUCUCCCUCCAUUCAACUAACUCUGCAUUCAGAGGUGGCAGGGUAGCCUAGUGGUUAGAGCAUUGGACUAGUAACUGAAAGGUUGCAAGUUCAAACCUUUGAGCUGACAUGGUACAAAUCUGUCGUUCUGCCCCUGAACAGGCAGAACCCCCUCGGAACCCACUGUUCCUAGGCCGUCGUUGAAAAUUCAAUUUUAGUUAAAUAAAGGUAAAAUAAAUAAAAAACUGGGACCAAC